Molecule: transfer RNA, 68 nt
Filed under: Lopheros sp. UPOL A00556
Lineage: Eukaryota; Metazoa; Arthropoda; Insecta; Coleoptera; Lycidae
Description: tRNA-Gln
Source: RNAcentral
UUAUAAAAUGUAAUUUUAAUUUUACAAUGAAAAUGUAAUGUUUUAUUUAAACUAUAUAAAAUUGAAAU